RNAcentral lists this ribosomal RNA (505 nucleotides) under uncultured bacterium. Its description in RNAcentral is "partial 16S ribosomal RNA". It matches the Rfam family "Bacterial small subunit ribosomal RNA", at positions 28 to 507 of the family's 1533-position model. The record is from RNAcentral.
GACGAACGCUGGCGGCGUGCCUAAUACAUGCAAGUAGAACGCACAGUUUAUACCGUAGCUUGCUACACCAUAAACUGUGAGUUGCGAACGGGUGAGUAACGCGUAGGUAACCUGCCUGGUAGCGGGGGAUAACUAUUGGAAACGAUAGCUAAUACCGCAUAAUAUUAAUUAUUGCAUGAUAAUUGAUUGAAAGAUGCAAUUGCAUCACUACCAGAUGGACCUGCGUUGUAUUAGCUAGUAGGUGAGGUAACGGCGCACCUAGGCGACGAUACAUAGCCGACCGGAGAGGGUGAUCGGCCACACUGGGACGGAGACACGGCCCAGACGGCUACGGGAGGCAGCAGUAGGGAAUCGUCGGCAAGGGACGAAAGUCUGACCGAGCAACGCCGCGUGAGUGAAGAAGGUUGUCGGAUCGUAAAGCUCGGUUGUAAGAGAAGAACGGGUGUGAGAGUGGAAAGUUCACACUGUGACGGUAUCUGACCAGAAAGGGACGGCUAACUACGUG